CGCGGGAUGGUGAAAUGGUAUCACGUGUGGCUCAUAACCAUAGAUUGCUAGUUCGACUCUAGCUCCCGCAA
This 71-nucleotide transfer RNA is filed under the name Bacteriophage sp. RNAcentral's name for it is "tRNA-Met". It matches the Rfam family "tRNA". Rfam says of the family: Transfer RNA (tRNA) molecules are approximately 80 nucleotides in length. Their secondary structure includes four short double-helical elements and three loops (D, anti-codon, and T loops). The record is from RNAcentral. RNAcentral also lists the same sequence under 1 other name.